Molecule: long non-coding RNA, 1325 nt
Organism: Saccostrea cuccullata (small rock oyster)
Lineage: Eukaryota; Metazoa; Mollusca; Bivalvia; Ostreida; Ostreidae
Exons: 3
Source: RefSeq, a predicted model, not a curated record
AAAUGGCAGCCAUAACUUUAAGUGGAUUGGUACAUUGUGGAUUUCUAGACAUGGACAAAGAUAUGCUGGAACACUUUGAAGUUCUGAGUAAGAACAAGGUGAAGAAGCGUAAGUUGGCGGACACGAUGCCUCUGGAGGCCCUAAUAAAGCGUCACGCUGGUGUCCUGGGUCUCAUACUUUAGUGGAAGCUUAUCCUUAUAAUGUACCCGAGUUCAUGCCACAGAUCCUAAUGGACCUUAGUAACCAUGUAAACGAUCCUCAACCAAUACAGAUGAUUGUGAAGAAAACUCUAUCAAACUUCCGUAGAACACACCACGACAAUUGGCAUGAUCACAAACAAAUAUUUACAGACGAUCAACUUGUCAUAUUAACUGAUAUUCUAGUGUCCCCUACUUACUACGCUUGACAACGGAUCGGCUCCUAGAAAUAUUACAAACCAAGGUGUAAGGACCGAAUUAGGAACAGCUCAGUCAUGGUAGAACAGACCAGAGUUAUCUCCCCCAGAAACAGGGUCGCAGAAGUCAUCAGUGCCCAUCGCAUUUCAAGGAUUUCGUUAGACAUAAUCAGUGAUUUCAUUAUUCCUCCUCCCAUAUAGUUUGAGCAUUUCAGUUAUGUUUUAGUGUUUUUUCAUACAAUGUAUUUGAUGUGUAUCAUGAAUACAAUAUUUAUUUGCAUUUUGUUAAGGUAAUCAAGUAAACACAUGAAGUCUGAUCAGUUUUAUGGAUUAAGCAGCCAAAGUUGGUUAUUAUACUAAAAAGGAUUUCGUAUUAAAAAAAAUUGUGCUUUGGCCGAAGUUGGUUAUAUGAAAAUGUAGCUUUGUACAAAUCUUAGUUGGUUCAAGGGAAAUAAUUUAGAUAUCUAAUUUUGAGAUUGCUAACAGAGAUUUGUUGUGAGCUUUUUUUUAAUCUGCAUUUUCUAAACCUCAAAAAACUCUUGCAUAAAUGAAGACAAUUUUUGAUUGAUUGAUACUACACUGUAUCACUUAAGAUAUGUAGGUACAGUUACAUGUAUUUAUUUUCAGAAAUAGUAAGGUGUUUUAAAACUAACCUUUUCAAAUAAAAUAUUUUAUAUAGAGAGUAACUGUUAAGGAUGCAGUGCCAAAGUCAUUAGUCAUUUGAUGAAAGGCAUCACAUUAAAUCUGUCAGGGAAAAAUGUUCUUCAAGUCAACAUAAGCAUUUCCCUAGACUUCAAGGUGUAAAACUAGUACAGCCACAGUGUUUUGGGGUAAAUAUGAAUUUAGGUUUGCAUAUCAUUGCAUUUAAUUGUUCAGCAUCCACGUAACUACAUAUUAGUGUAUAAGCAUGUACAAUUACUGAAGUUUUUAA